RNAcentral lists this ribosomal RNA (455 nucleotides) under uncultured bacterium. RNAcentral describes it as "bacterial SSU rRNA". It matches the Rfam family "Bacterial small subunit ribosomal RNA", at positions 28 to 507 of the family's 1533-position model. The record is from RNAcentral.
GAUUAACGCUAGCGGUGUGCCUUAUGCAUGCAAGUCGAACGGUCUCGAUUUAUCGAGAUAGUGGCGAACGGGUGAGUAACGCGUAAGUGAUCUGCCCCUAAGCGGGGGAUAACCCUGAGAAAUUGGGGCUAAUACCGUAUGUGGUGAUGGAGGUAGGGCUCUAUCAGUAAAGCCUUAGGGUGCUUGGGGAGGGGCUUGCGUCCGAUUAGCUAGUUGGUAGGGUAAUGGCUUACCAAGGCGAUGAUCGGUAGCUGGUUUGAGAGGACGGUCAGCCACACUGGGACUGAGACACGGCCCAGACUCCUACGGGAGGCAGCAGCAAGGAAUCUUGUGCAAUGGGCGAAAGCCUGACACAGCGACACCGCGUGGGGGAUGAAGGCUUUCGGGUUGUAAACCCCUUUUCUCAGGGAAGAAUAAUGACGGUACCUGAGGAAUAAGUCUUGGCUAACUACGUG